This 279-nucleotide ribosomal RNA is filed under the name uncultured bacterium. RNAcentral's name for it is "partial 16S ribosomal RNA". It matches the Rfam family "Bacterial small subunit ribosomal RNA", at positions 506 to 784 of the family's 1533-position model. The record is from RNAcentral.
UGCCAGCAGCCGCGGUAAUAUGGAGGGGGUUAGCGUUGUUCGGAAUUACUGGGCGUAAAGCGCGCGUAGGCGGAUUAGUCAGUCAGAGGUGAAAUCCCAGGGCUCAACCCUGGAACUGCCUUUGAUACUGCUAGUCUUGAGUUCGAGAGAGGUGAGUGGAAUUCCGAGUGUAGAGGUGAAAUUCGUAGAUAUUCGGAGGAACACCAGUGGCGAAGGCGGCUCACUGGACCAAUACUGACGCUGAGAUGCGAAAGCGUGGGGAGCGAACGGGAUUAGAUA